RNAcentral lists this ribosomal RNA (522 nucleotides) under Triticum aestivum (bread wheat). Its description in RNAcentral is "partial small subunit ribosomal RNA". Lineage: Eukaryota; Viridiplantae; Streptophyta; Magnoliopsida; Poales; Poaceae. The record is from RNAcentral.
AUGACCAAGGACGGCGGCAGCGAGACGGGCGGGUGCCUCUGCAUCGGCGCGCCGAUGCGCGCGCUGUCGCGGGCGUGCGACUCCGCCUGCGACCUCUACGUGCGCGGCAUGUCCGGGUGCGCCACCCGCGUGCCGGCCGGGGCAGUCGCGGGCGGCCGCGGCUCCGGCUUUGUCAGAUCGGCCACGACCGUGCACCUGUGGACGAGCUCGGACCGCGCCGACGACCUCAUCCGCGCCGCGUCGACGAAGCAGCGCCGCGUGGCGACGGCCGAUCAGCCGGCGGAUGUCGGGGCAGCAAAGAAGGGCCGCCUUGGCCCGGUGGCGCCGGCGAUCGUGCCGGCUCGGAGGAAGGGGCCGGCGAUGGCGACCAUCGCCGAGAACGGGCCGUGCGACUUCGGCGCCUGCGCGCUGACGCCACCGGAGCUGAGGAGGCGCGCCCCGGCGGUCGGUGGGGUGCGCGCGCCUGGCGGUGGGUUUGUCGCCGUCAUGGCGGCGAGCGAGGCCUUCGCGGCUCGAUCGUGA